RNAcentral lists this ribosomal RNA (326 nucleotides) under uncultured eukaryote. Its description in RNAcentral is "partial 18S ribosomal RNA". It matches the Rfam family "Eukaryotic small subunit ribosomal RNA", at positions 1470 to 1796 of the family's 1831-position model. The record is from RNAcentral.
CCCUUAGAUGUUCUGGGCCGCACGCGCGCUACACUGAUGCAUUCAACGAGCCUAGCCUUGACCGAGAGGUCCGGGUAAUCUUUGAAACUGCAUCGUGAUGGGGCUAGAUUAUUGCAAUUAUUAAUCUUCAACGAGGAAUGCCUAGUAAGCGUGAUUCAUCAAAUCGCGUUGAUUACGUCCCUGCCCUUUGUACACACCGCCCGUCGCUCCUACCGAUUGAAUGAUCCGAUGAAUAUCAUGGAUUGAGGAUGCAAGCAGGUUCGCCUGUCUUCAUCUUCGAGAAGUGAAGUAAAUCUUAUCAUUUAGAGGAAGGAGAAGUCGUAACA